Molecule: ribosomal RNA, 444 nt
Filed under: uncultured bacterium
Lineage: Bacteria
Description: partial 16S ribosomal RNA
Rfam family: Bacterial small subunit ribosomal RNA
Source: RNAcentral
CUACGGGAUGCUGCAGUGGGGAAUAUUGCACAAUGGGCGCAAGCCUGAUGCAGCAACGCCGCGUGAGGGAUGAAGGCCUUCGGGUUGUAAACCUCUUUUAGCAGGGAAGAAGCGAAAGUGACGGUACCUGCAGAAAAAGCACCGGCUAACUACGUGCCAGCAGCCGCGGUAAUACGUAGGGUGCAAGCGUUGUCCGGAAUUAUUGGGCGUAAAGAGCUCGUAGGCGGUUUGUCACGUCUGCUGUGAAAAUGCAAGGCUCAACCUUGGACUUGCAGUGGGUACGGGCAGGCUAGAGUGCGGUAGGGGAGAUGGGAAUUCCUGGUGUAGCGGUGGAAUGCGCAGAUAUCAGGAGGAACACCAAUGGCGAAGGCACAUCUCUGGGCCGUAACUGACGCUGAGGAGCGAAAGCGUGGGGAGCGAACAGGAUUAGAUACCCUCGUAGUC